This is a long non-coding RNA of Bos taurus (domestic cattle), 1218 nucleotides long. The record is from Ensembl. NCBI's taxonomy places the organism in Eukaryota, Metazoa, Chordata, Mammalia, Artiodactyla, Bovidae.
GUGGUGUUGGAGAAGACUCUUGAGAGUCCCUUGGACUGCAAGGAGAUCCAACCAGUCCAUCCUAAAGGAAAUCAGUCCUGGGUGUUCAUUGGAAGGACUGAUGCUGAAGCUGAAACUCCAAUACUUUGGCCACCUGAUGCGAAGAGCUGACUCAUUUGAAAAGACCCUGAUGUUGGGAAAGAUUGAAGGCAGGAGGAAAAGGGGAUGACAGAGGAUGAGAUGGUUGGAUGGCAUCACCGACUCAAUGGACAUGGGUUUGGGUAAACUCCAGGAAUUGGUGAUGGACAGGGAGGCCUGGCGAGUUGCAAAGAGUUGGACACGACUGAGCGACUGAACUGAACUGAACUUAAAACCCACCAACACCAAGAAAAGGGAUUCAACUGGACCGCGGAGAUACCUUGGGCAGCCCUGAAAUUAUGCGAUUUGAGGACACGCUGUCAACUCUUAUCCCGAGAUCACGCCGUAGAGCCAGACUGCUUCUCCAGUUCUGAACUGGCCCGGACCCGGGCGGUGGUGGCCAGGUGUUGGGAGCUGGGCAAGGCAAGCCAGACCGCCCGAAGGACCUUCGAUCAGGCAUCCCCUCCAGCUCGGCGCAACCCCGCAGGCAACAGACGUGCCAGGUGAAGGAAGAGAAGAGCAGAGGCAACAGUAAUUCAGUUUCACUGCACUGUUUCCCCAGAUCCGACAGGCACAAGUGAUUGGUCUCCCUGCCUCUCUCUUUCGGGGCUGCUAAGCUAGCUGCGUUCUGCCGGAAAAACACAUCGCCCAGACCGAGCGCAGCGUUUGGAGACCUCGGAAUUACCCCCCGACCUGGGCCCGAUAGCACAGGCAGCAGGGCGAGGGACACGGGAGCGCGGCAUCGCCGAGUGGCUCUAUGAAGCGCGGGACCCUGGGCGCUCGCGGUUGAGCCCGGGUCCCAAGGACAGGGCAGAGGUGGGAGGACCCGGGCUUACGGGAGCACAGCCGCUCCUGCAAGCACCCCCCGCAAACCCAGUCCUCGCUGCCGCUUAGCCCCAUCAAGGUGCGCCUCCUCGGUGCGGAGUCCCACCUACCUCCCGCCACCCCGCUGACCUCAUAAACAACUUCGCUAACCGCAGAGGGCGGAGGCGGGGCGGGCGGGCCGCUGCUGAGCCGACCGCGGGGGCAGCGGGGCGGGCCGGGGUCAGGGCACAGGCUGCGGCCGCGCCUCCCGAUUGGCCGGGACGCCGUGGGCUGCCC